GGGGUUGUGGUUCAGCGGUAGAGCGCACGCCUUGCAUGUGCGAGACCCUGUGUUUGAUCCUCAGCACCACA
Molecule: transfer RNA, 71 nt
Filed under: Marmota monax (woodchuck)
Lineage: Eukaryota; Metazoa; Chordata; Mammalia; Rodentia; Sciuridae
Description: tRNA.Ala
Source: RNAcentral